Mya arenaria is the source of this 2387-nucleotide long non-coding RNA. RefSeq lists it as uncharacterized. Lineage: Eukaryota; Metazoa; Mollusca; Bivalvia; Myida; Myidae. The record is from RefSeq and is a predicted model, not a curated record. The transcript has 3 exons.
GCGUUCUUGAAUCUAGAAGUAUGCAAAACUACGCAGCGGUAUUUCAUGUAUAAACAUAAUACGUAAUCAACAUAACACAACCCAUUUCAAAGGCGACGUUGCCUUUGAAGGUCAUUUAACGCUAGUUACGCUUCCUUUUAAAACUGUUGACAUAUAUGCUAUAACUUUCUUAUAAAUCCAACCGGACAUCUAUUACGUGAUCGCUUUAAAGUUAUCAUGGAAACCAUAGUGACUGCAAAUAUAUCAACAGAACAUCCAUUACAAAAUAGCUGUCACAUUUGCCAUGAAAACCACUGCAAUAGACAAUAAACCAACCGGACAAAUAUCACAAGGUCGCAUCAAGGUUGGAACCACAGUGACCCCUGUUAUGAAUGUUGUAUGGGAAAGGAGCAUCACUUAAUACAACAUGCACCAAUACAUAUCUGUCUAUGAAACAAUGAUCAAAGGUCACGGUCACCAUUCAAGAAUCGUUGGUGCUCCGUGUGUCAUGGGGUAUCUCAGGAAUUACCAGGCGUACUUAAGUCGAAAGAUAGAAGAAGGGUUGACUCAAACAGUUGUAGAGAACUGAAGAGAAAACAUCACAAGAUGAUCAUGUUGUAUUUGCCGACAAGUUUAAAACAUCAGUUCCUCUGGCGUUUGGAAAAAAUCUAUACUUUCGUGUCACGCAUUAAACACCGGAAGGACAUAUUGGUCAAUCGCAAAAUCAGUCCACGAAAAGAGAUGGCAAAGUUAGGAUGCUCAGCAGAGGGGAACACAUGGCAUGAAAUAUUGCGGACCGGAAGCUUAUGUCCACUGCAUGGGAAUAAUCAAAACAUGUGUGCAACGCGAUGACAUGUUUCAAUCCUAUAACAAAUAGCCGACAGAACAAGGUUUUGGCGGAAGAAGUAAAUACAAAAGGAAAGUGGGAAAAAACAUGCAUCAAAGUUAUUUUAUAAUUAAAAACGAACAUGGGUGUUGUAGACAGUGAACAUUUACAGUGUACCAACACAAAGUGCUUAUUUGUGGACCUAAUGUGUGUGGUUUGCCGUGGACAUCUCGCUUGUGAUUCAUUAUGUAUAAAGCUUCAACCCUCCGGCUACCUAUAAGCUGUUUGAGAGAAUGGUUGCAGAACAACUUAUCGGCGGGAAUAGCACACGUAUAAGGAAAUCCAAACAAACAAGCGACAUAUUUUAACUUGACCUCUUUGGCAAUGUGCAGUGCAGAGUCAGCUUGCAUGAACCGAUGAUAUUGCAUUGCACCAGACACUCUACUAGACUCUGUUGCCGUUUCGUUAAUCGCAUGCUGUGAUUAUACUGGUGUUGUUUCCCGUGACAAAUCUUGCGAUAUUUUUAGCAAUAUAAUAGUUACAGCCAAAUUCUUUGAUUUAUGUUUUGGUCUAUGUUUUUCUAUUAUAUAAUUAUGUACAUGUGUUCUUUGUUGAUUGGAGAAAAAGUAUUAUCAUUAUUGAUUUUCGUCGUGUUUAAUUUUAUCCCUAUGUAUUCCUCAAGUUCAUAUGAUGUAUAUAAUUGAUCUAUACAUUUUAUAACCUUGAUGUAUGAAUGAAUUGUGAAUCCGUAUUUGGAUUUUAGUCCUAUAAGUAUACAUUUAUAUAGGAAAUGAAUGAACAUGUGAGUAAAAUAUCAUGAUAGAGAAUUGUUAUUUUAAUUCCUUUCUGAUUUAUUUGAUGAAAAACAUAUUGUUUUGUAAUCGCUCUAUGCAUGUAUAAAUACUAAAAUAAACAAAAAUAUGUAUAAUAUAAUGAAUACUACAGGGACAAGCCCAUUAGUUGAACAGUGAAAAAUAGGCCCUGUUAAGGUGUACACGUCAAGGACCCAAACAACAAUGAACUAGAGACAAAAACAUUGUUACACCACUUCUUAAAUCAUAAUUUUCACCUUUUGUUUUAUUACUGAAUUUUACAUAGAAUGACACGUGCCUGGAAAACUGUGAUAAUGUGAUGUGUGCAUUAAAAUUAAGCACGGCUAAAAUAGCGUAUUUAUACAUACAUGGUUUAGCCACACAUGGCAUUCCAGAGAGUGUUUAUGUGGAUUUUUUCAAUUUACUCCGAUUCAAGCACACACAUGCAUAAUAUGAUUGAAAUAAUAAAAACAUUUCGCAACGUUGCCUUACAAACAUCUUUUUAAGCAUUAUACUUUUGAAAUAUUUUGGAAAACCUUUUUCUACUACUGUAGUACAAAAUUGCUGUUUGAGAAAUAUCAAAUAAUAGCCGUAGUGUAUUUAUGAGGAAAACAACAGACAUAAAUAUCGAGUUACUACAAAAGUUAAAACUGCCAUAGUGUAUCUAUGCAUGCACACGUGGUAUAAUUCCAAGAUUGAUCAUAACAUUAAACGUCUCCGGCAAUUUUGAAAUACAUAUACCUGAAAUGUUUGUACUAGAACUACCAGAG